This 4812-nucleotide long non-coding RNA is filed under the name Daucus carota (carrot). RNAcentral's name for it is "long non-coding RNA (DCAR_LNC006509)". Lineage: Eukaryota; Viridiplantae; Streptophyta; Magnoliopsida; Apiales; Apiaceae. The record is from RNAcentral.
AAAUGGGCUGGACACGGAGACCAAACACUGAAUAAAUAAUGUGGAAACAUGCCAGUGAAUAUAAUUAAAAAUAACAUAAGUGAGAAUAAUGGUGGGAUCCGUCGACAAGCAACUCGUCGCACAAAUAUGCAAUGAUCGUGAGAUUUCGUUACAUUUCCGACGUCCUUGAACCAUGUACUUCUAUUGUUUACGAUGAUUGAUCGGAGGCUCAACCAACAACAUGAUUGAUGUUUUCUUCAAUGAUCGUGAGAUUUCGAUGCAUUUCCGCACGUCCUUGUCACAAGCGAUCAAGAUCCAAAUGUCCUCAUCAUCUCGGUACUUAAUACUGAAACUCUCCCUCUCCAAGUGCAGCCUCUCGAUCACAUUAUUUUCUAACUCUGCAAUCCCUGAUGAAUCAGAUAAAUCAAACCUUAUAGUCACACCAUUGAACAUUGCCCUUACAGUCACCUCAUUCAAGGUUUGGCUUAUCUGAUCAACAGCAGGUGCUUUUUCCCCGGGAGGCAAACCCGAAUGAAAGUUUUUUCCAGCUUGUUCAUCGUCACUUGAUCUUCUCCUAAGAUUAGAUGACAUGUUUCCUUUUAUGCUUUUCUUGCCUCGUCGCCAGUCAUUAAUACCAAGACCUCUACACUUGCGUUUGAGUGUCGAUCGACUAACUAACAUAUUGAACAUUCUAAAUAAGAUGCACAGCUAUAAUAAUGGUUCAACAGAAAAUAACUUUUUUUUGAAUAAUGAAAGCUGAAAGAAGUGCAAGAACAUAGAAGAGACCGACUCAACCAUGAAUUCUUACGAAGAAAUUUAGUUUUAGUGUUUCUAACUGUGUAAUUUGUUCGGCAUUUCUUCACUAGAUUAAUAUGUAUGAAUUGUACACCUUAAUUAUCUGUACUCGACUACAUUGGCUUUGCAGCAGAUGAAAGUGUUCAAGAAUCACCUGUUAAUAAUAUUGCUUAUGCUCUCACUAAUGAAGAUGUGAACUAUGCUCUAAAUAAUAAAGACGACAUGAACCUCGAGAAUGUUAGUAAGCAUUUCGGAAGACCACUCAAUGAUGCAGCAAAGAGCUUUGGAGGUAGGUUAUAUUCUACUGUACUUCUAUCUUUCAACUUACAUUAUUCCCAAAACAUUCAUUGCCUAAGCAUUGUUGUGUAUUUAUUUUGAUAUUGAACAUUUUAGUUAGCCGAUCCACAUUCAAGCGCAUAUGUAGAGGGCUCGGUAUCAAGAGGUGGCAAUCCGGGAAGAGAAGAAUGAAUGGUAACUUUUCAUCUAGGCUCGGAAAAGGAAUAAAUCAGGAGCAACCAGGUAGAAGAAAUUUUGGUAGCACCAGCAUGGCAGCUGUGAAUGAAACAGUUGUUGUGCAUUCUAGCCAAGACUUGAAUAAGAUGAUUGUAAAGGCAACUUAUAAGGAUGUUGCAAUAAGGUUUAAACUACCUGAUUUAUCAGGAAUUGCAGAGUUGGAAAAUAAUGUGAUUGAGAGGCUGCAUUUGAAGAGAAAUAAUUUCACCAUCAAGUAUCAAGACGAGGAGGGUGACUUGGUUUUGAUUGCCUGUGACAAGGAUGUGCGAGAAUGUAUUGAAAUCUCGAGAUCUUUGAAGGAAACGACAGUCAAAUUGUUGCUUGAUCUGCCUCUUAAUCACAAUGCACUUUGAAAGCAUAUGAGUACUACUCAGUACUCUCUUCCAUUUUUUCCCUUUUCCAACAAAAAUGUGCUUAAACUUGAGUUUCUGUGACAAUUUGCUUGCUGUCUUCGUGUGGCGGAAUGUAGAUCACGGUAAUACAAUUCAUCUUGAUAUAAAGUCUCGAUAUAAAGUCCAUUUUUUGGUAUAUAUUUCUAAAUCUUUUGACAGUAAAAUUAUUAUUUUUGAAAUUUGUUUUAUUUGAAUUAUUAAUCAUAUAUUUUAUUCAAUUUUGUUUAAAAAAUUAUAAUUUUAAGUAUAAUUAAAGAUUUAGAAAUGUGUGUCAAAAAGUUCACACGCAUUAUGCACCGGUUUGUUUAGUGGAAGUUGUUUUGGCUUAUACUUUUUUUGACCUGUAAAUUAGUAGAAUCACUUUUAAAAAGAUGAGAAUUCUUAUUAUUCUAUUAGAAUUUCUAUUUUUUUUCAAAUAUUUUUCUUUGUUUUAAGCAAAAAAUUACUUUUUUUAAACUUCUCCGCACGGUCGCUGUAUUUCAACAAGGAGGCAGUACUUCGUUAUACCUCAGUAAUAGACGAAUUGUUAAUGCCUGUUUUCUAAAAACACUUUAUCAUUGACCGGGCAGAGAAGUUUAGUGGGUUAAAUAAUGACUAACCACAGAAACUUCCUAGUCUCUAAGCUGUAGUACAUGAAUAACUUGUUGAACCUUCCUAUUCGUGUGAUCCUUGGUGAACCUUUCACACAUGUCCGGGUCCACCUAUGUGGCUAUGUAUAUGCCCCGGGUCUCUCUCUUUUAUUUAAUCAGUAUAUAUGUCAUGUUUACGGUAAAAGAAAUUAGUUGUGAGAGACGUAAAAUUUAGAUAAUAAUAUAAACGUAUAUAAGACUUACAAAAUUUAUUUUUGUAAAUAAAUAUAAAUGCUAUUUGAAAAUGUUAAAGGAUUUUCUAACGAUGUGAGCUAAAAUUUAUAGAGAUCCUACAAGAAACUCAUUAUUAGAAUAUGAUAGAAUCUUGAUUUAUAAUUCUAACAAAUUUUGUAAUGUUAAUUUUUUUUUGUAAAUAGAUAUAAAUGCUAUUUGAAAAUGUUGAAGGAUUUUCUAACGACGUGAGCUAAAAUUUAUGGAGAUCCUACAAGAAACUCAUCAUUAGUAUAUGAUAGAAUCUUGAUUUAUAAUUCUAACAAAUUUUAUAAUGUUUUAUAUUGAAAUUUUAAAUUUUGUAACAAAAUUUCUACCGAACUUAGUACAUUAAAAUAAUUUGAAAUUAUUUAUAAAAUUCAAAAUAACAACAAUUUAUUAAUGUCAAAACAUAAUCCAUUAUCAUAACAAAUUUAUAUUCUUUCGUAGAAAUCAAAUCUAUUAAUAUUAAUAAAUUAAACAAAGAUUAUAUAUUAUUAUUUAAAAGUAUUCACAAAAUCUCUUUUAGCAUCAAAAAGUAAGUGUAAGAAAUCAAAAAGUCUGUAAAAAUGGGGCCAGAGAGUAUAUAAUAUCCCACCACCCCUGGUGGGUACUUUGUCUUUUUCUUGUGUGUGUCUUUUCCGCGUGUUUAGUCAGCAAAACAAGUAUAUAAAUGAAGCAGAGAUCCUGGUACUUCAACAGAACUGCAAAUCAACUCUUCCUUCCUUUUUUUUUCCCUUCCUAUUCUAUUGUUUCUAUUUUCAGAUGUCUCCUCCUCACCAAUUCAUACUCACCAACUAUUCUAUGCAAUUCAAUGUUGCAUUAAUCAACAUAGCCCCCACACGAGCCCGAGAAAAUAAUAAUCACGCGAUUGUUGGCAUUUUGGGAAUAGCUGUUACAGUCCUCCUCAGCGCCUUGCAACUCAAGUACCAAGCAGGAACUGAUUCUGCAUUCCAAGAUCACCCCAGAGCCAUGGUUUUCGCUAUAGCAAGUUUCCUUGUUUUCUGCUUGGUAUGCGACUUGGAACAAUACUUUCGCUCUACUCAUAAUAGUGCAGCUUUUGCAACAGUACUACACCACAUCCUCAGAUUGUCUGGUUUCAUUUCACUUGCAUCUUUGGCCUUUGUCAUUUUCUCGCCAUCCACAAGCUCAAGGACGUCGCUCAUUGUUUAUCUGAUUUUCCCCGGGUUUUUUUCAGCAAGGUCGGUUCUUCACUGGAUCCAGAAUAGAAAGUUACGUGGAAACGGAGGAGCCUGCAAUUUCCAUAAUUUACACAGUGACUAUUUGAACUACAUAGAUACUCUUUCAGUGUACCGCAGAGCUCCUGAGAAUCUUGUUUAGUCACUUCUGGUUCCCUAGUUGUUUUUGGUUUACAAUUCAGCAUGUCACGUUAAAUGAGGGGGCUUUUGGUUGGUGAUUAAUGAGCUCGGUUAACAAGAAUCAGAACCUCAAACCCAUGUGUUGGUAUUUGGGUUAACCAUUUUGUGGUAUGGAAUUUUUGAGUUGUAGGCUUUGUCAAGUUGUAAUUACUUUGAUUAACUGAUACAAAUCUUUAGCAGUGCAGCGAAAUUGAAGAUCACAUAAACCACAAAUAUCAAAGUCUUAAUUAGUUACUUCCUCCGUCCAGGUCAUUAGUUAACAAAUGGGCUGGACACGGCGACCAAACACUGAAUAAAUAAUGUAGAAACAUGCUGAGUGAAUAUAAUUAAAAACAACAAAAGUGAGAAUAAUGGUGGGAUCCAUCGACAAGCAAGUCGUCGCACAAAUAUGCAAUGAUCGUGAGAUUUCAUUACAUUUCCGACGUCCUUAACCAUGUACUUCUAUUGUUUAUGAUGAUUGAUCGGAGGAUCAACCAACAGCGUGAUUGAUGUUUUCUUUAAUGAUCGUGAGAUUUCGAUGCAUUUCCGUACGUCCUUGUCACAAGCGAUCAAGAUCCAAAUGUCCUCAUCAUCUUGGUACUUGAUACUGAAACUCUCCCUGUCCAAGUGAAGCCUCUCGAUCACAUUAUUUUCUAAUUCUGCAAUCCCUGAUGAAUCAGAUAAAUCAAACCUUAUAGUCACACCAUUGUACAUUGCCCUUACAGUCACCUCAUUCAAGGUUUGGCUUAUCUGAUCAACAGCAGGUGCUUUUUCCCCGGGAGGCAAACCCGAAUAAAAGUUUUUUCCAGCUUGUUCAUCGUCACUUAAUAUUCUCCUAAGAUUAGAUGACAUGUUUCCUUUUAUGCUUUGCUUGCCUCGUCGCCAGUCUUUAAUACCAAGACCUCUACACUUGCGUUUGAGUGUCGAUCGACUAAC